Molecule: long non-coding RNA, 977 nt
Organism: Salvia splendens (bonfire salvia)
Lineage: Eukaryota; Viridiplantae; Streptophyta; Magnoliopsida; Lamiales; Lamiaceae
Exons: 2
Source: RefSeq, a predicted model, not a curated record
AAAAACACGCUGUCUGCUUUACCUCUCUUCUCUUUUCCUCAAUUGGCGACGUCCAAGGGAGUACACACGACAAGCAAGGUGAGCCUUGUUUAAGUGAAUCCCUUUUUUUACGGAAUCGUUGUAUGAAUUCAAUGACAUUGGUUUUCAUUAUUUGAGUGACAUGGUUGUUCACAUCACAUCCCAGUGAGGAAGUUUGUGAGUUUUCUUGGAGAUAGGAUAUGGAGGUUUUAGGGUUAAUUUAUUUUGAGCAUUGUGGAAUAAAAAAGAUUGUUAUGAUAGCCUGAUCCAACAUGAUCGGAUAUGUAUUGCAAUUUUAUGGUUUGCUGGAUUCACACUCUUCCCAUGUAUAUUGUUCGAAGAAGGACACAACCGUUUUGCAUAUAUUAGAAGAGAUAAAUAUACAAACAAUCAUGUGUCUCAGAAUAAAAAAAAGGAAGCCUUCUCAAAUAGUGCUUCCUUAUAGUCAGAUGGCAAGGGUACACAUGCAAGUAAAAGACAGCGAUUGUUUAGUCAAGAUUAGGAUGGAUAGGAAUGCGUUUGGAUAGAAGGUCGGUUUACAUUGAAGAACAAGUGGCCAUGUUCCACUGGAUUUCAGUUCUGGCGUUCAAGCCAAACAGUUAGUACUUGGGGCUAUCUUAAAGAUGCACAGUUUGUUCAUUGUGAAGCCUCACCCAAUUUCCGAACACUGCAUCCACUGGAGAUGGAAUUGUUCCAACACCUCACUGUCUUGCUCCCUUACUAUGCAUCUUACUCUGUUUAUUUUCACAUUUAUUAAGUGAAUAUCUUUUCUUUUCUUUUCUUUUAUUUUUGUUUUCAAGAAUUAGGAUACCGAGAAUUUGAUGUUGUAUUUUUAUAAAUUGGAAAAAAAUCCUUGAGCUAGAAUGCUCGAAGUGAAAAUUAUUCUAAUUACGUCUAAUCGAAAUUUGUAUGGUUAGUUAAUGAUAUUAUUGCAAUAAAGUAGUAUUGUGACAUCCCAA